GCCACUAAUAAAUCUCGCUCUUCUCUGCACAUGCAUCCGUCUCCUUACCGCUCACCAUUACACUCACCCUCACACUUAACUCUUUUAAAUCUUUUGCUUCUAACCAAAAUUUACCAAUAAAACAAAAGCAGCACUAUAAUGAUUGCAGAUAAUAAAUGUGAAAAGUGUGAUGAUUCUGUUGAAAAAUAGAACUAAGCAGUACGGACAUGAAGGGAUACUUAGCUACCUUGGGGAGAACCUUUAAACAUUACCAUUGAUUAUAACACACUGAUUGGGUUCUUUCCCCCUGUUACUAACAGAAAUGCUACAAUGAAUUUACUAUAAAAUCGUUAUAGUUUGUCUUUUUUUAUAGUGUGUACCCUGGGAUUCUGUGCAUAACAUUGGGGAUAGUCAUAAAUAUCUAUCUGCAAUGUAGUUGGUUUUUUUUAGUGAUUGAAAUAUUUACAAUUCUUUCUCAGUCUUUGACAUUUCCAGUAAGCAGGAAUGUCAGGGUAGUAUCAUGAUUAACUGGAGAUUAUAAAAUGUAGGAUGAUAAAAAAGAUUCAACAAUUUAAGGACUGCAGAGAGGCGGUGAAGAAAAACUCAUCUACGUUCAUACCUCAGCUCAUACGAGUCUCUCCUUUCCAAGUUCUCACUAGAAGUAACAUCUGCAAAGUCAUUCUACUACAGAGGAAAAUUUGAAUCAUCAGCAUAUGAUCCACACAAUUUCCGUAACAUUUUUUUCUUUCCUCCCUUACUCCUGAGGAUUCUAUCACCUUCUUUGAGGAGAAAGUUGCAGCAAUCCACCAGUACUUUUCAUGUUCCCACUCUUCCAACCAAUGCUCACACCCCUACAUCUAACUCUCUGGCUUCUUUUUCUCCUCUCUCCACAAACAAAAUCCUUCAUCUCCUGACUUCAAGCAAUCUGACUACAGGCCCGCUGGAGCCCGUCUGUUCCAGACAAUCUUGAGAAAUCUAUUUCCUUUCAUCGCUCUCAUCUUCAACAACUCCUUAUCCUCAGGACAUGUACCAAAUGCAUUUAAGACUUCCAUUGUGGUACCAAUCUUAAAGAAGGCCACACUCGAUAGCUACAACAUUAGCAAUUACUGACCAGUAUCACUUCUCUUUUUCCUCUCAAAAGUUCUUGAACAAGCAGUUUACAAUAAAAAAACAAUCAAUCUCUUUUCCUUCACCCAGAACCAGCUUCACAAUCCCAAUCGGUCUGGCUAUAAACCGGCACAUUCAAAAGAAACAGCUCUCAUAGCAGUCACAGAAAAACUUCAUACUGCCAUACUGCCAUUAUCAUCUGUUUUGAUUCUUCUGGAUCUUUUGGCAGCCUUUGACACAGUAAAUCACAAUAUGCUCCUCUCCGUUUUGCCCAGUCUCAGUGUGACUGGUUCUGCAUGGAAAUGGUUUCAGACCUUUCUGGAGGGAUGGUCCUAUCAGGCAACAUGGAGAGGAUCCACGUCCAAUCCAUCUAGACUCUCCACCGGUGUCCUCCAGGACUCAAUAUUAGGCCCGCUUCUCUUCUUUUUGUAUACUCGAUCCAUUGGUUAUGUAAUAUCUUAUGUUUCAUAUUUCUCAUAUUUCAUUGCAUGAUGAAAGAACAGGUUUCAGAGUUUUUGUGUCACGCCUAUGUCUGCAGACUGUAGACUAUGGUAUUCAUCACGGAUUCUUUUUAUGUCACCAUCACACACACCACUAAAAGGUGACCUCAGGAUGACAUCUGAGCCUUUUAAUGCAACAUCUUAUUUAGCAAUUGUGUAGUUUGUUGAACUGAAGGAGCUGCAAUGCAGGAUAUGACUCAAUGUUUUGCAAAGCAGUAUGACUGUGUCAUAAAGUCCACUUACAAAUGCUCUCUCCUGCACUCUGUAUCCUGCUUUUAGAGGUUGGAGGUGGCGAGUGAGAACAUUGUUUUUCAGGAUAUGGAAAGAAUAAAAAAUGAGGAUAGUUGGGUCCAGAGAGAGAAGGAAAGAACAAGAAACAGAGCACCAGAGAGCGAGCGGCAUGAUGGUGGAGGGGUCGUCCCUCAGCAUAUCCAUUGGUAAAUAAAUAAAUAAGCCCAACAUGUGGUAUGUCUGUUGUCCCUGCUGGAAGCAGGCCUGCUAACUACAAGGCUGUCCAGUAUACUUUGCAAAAGGGUGAGAGGGAAGGAAUAUGGUGACCUCAUUGAUGAGUUUAUGCAGGCUGCUACAGACAAGUGAGUGUUAAGGGUAUUAAGUCUAUCAAGUGUUAAAGCUGAUAACUCUAUUAAUGUUUGACACUGGUCUGAAUUGCAGGUAUGAUUCAGUUUGAAGACUUUGCCAACAACCAAUGCUUUCCGAAAGUACUGAAACCAUUAUUGCACUUUCAAUGAUAAUAUACAAGGCACAGUAUCAGUGUGAUCAUCAGAGUAGAGGUCACGUGAAUUAUGAAAAGGAAGAGUUUACCCAUGAUCACCCCCAAAUAAAGACCUUGGAGGAGGCAAGGCAGCCAUUGGUUGGGUGUUUACAGAAAAGAUCCUGAAAGACAUGGCCUCCUUCAAUGAGAGGCCCAUCAUCUUUGCCCUCAGCAAUCCCACCAGCACAGGGGAGCAGAGCUACAUGGUGACGCAAGGAACGUGACACCAGCCAGCUCUCGCGCUCCCUUUAAGAGUCUGCACUCUUCCUCGUGGCUCAGUAUUAAGAACACGACUGUUUAGAAUCUGCUAUGCAACUGUCUGAAACUGUGUUUGUGUGUGUGCAUGUCUCUCUCUCUCUCUCUCUCUCUCUCUCUCUCUCUCUCUCUCUCU
Electrophorus electricus (electric eel) is the source of this 2749-nucleotide non-coding RNA. The record is from RefSeq and is a predicted model, not a curated record. Lineage: Eukaryota; Metazoa; Chordata; Actinopteri; Gymnotiformes; Gymnotidae.